AAAUCUCAACCUCCUUUGUUUCUUCCGGGGACCAAAGGAGGCUUGGACUUUGGAGGUUUUUGCUGGUGUCUUUGAAGGCCAGCUCCUCUUAAAUGAAUUAGCGAGGUCCUCUUUGCCGAUCCUCGACAUGUGAUAAGAUGCUUCCGUGUCUUGGUUUCUGGCUCUGUUGCCUUUGGGAUCCGCUUCUAACCGUCUUGACCUUGCGUCGAGACAAUGUUCGAGCUCGUCUCCCUUCUCGGGAAACCCUCUCGACCUCACGAAC
RNAcentral lists this unclassified non-coding RNA (262 nucleotides) under uncultured Lactarius. RNAcentral's name for it is "sequence contains ITS2". The record is from RNAcentral. Lineage: Eukaryota; Fungi; Basidiomycota; Agaricomycetes; Russulales; Russulaceae.